Molecule: ribosomal RNA, 253 nt
Filed under: uncultured bacterium
Lineage: Bacteria
Description: partial 16S ribosomal RNA
Rfam family: Bacterial small subunit ribosomal RNA
Source: RNAcentral
UACGUAGGGACCUAGCGUUGUCCGGAAUCAUUGGGCGUAAAGCGCGCGUAGGCGGCCCGGUAAGUCCGUUGUAAAAGUCGAAGGCUCAACCUUCGAAAGCCGAUGGAUACUGCCGGGCUAGAGUCCGGAAGAGGCGAGUAGAAUUCCUGGUGUAGCGGUGGAAUGCGCAGAUAUCAGGAGGAAUACCCAUAGCGAAGGCAGCUCGCUGGGACGGUACUGACGCUGAGGAGCGAAAGCGUGGGGAGCGAACAGG